CAUGUCCGAGGAUAGAGGAAGUCGGGGCAACCCGGCUGGGCGUGAAAUUCUCC
This 53-nucleotide non-coding RNA is filed under the name Natronolimnohabitans innermongolicus JCM 12255. RNAcentral describes it as "leuA-Halobacteria RNA". It matches the Rfam family "leuA-Halobacteria RNA". Lineage: Archaea; Methanobacteriati; Methanobacteriota; Halobacteria; Halobacteriales; Natrialbaceae. The record is from RNAcentral.